RNAcentral lists this ribosomal RNA (253 nucleotides) under uncultured bacterium. RNAcentral describes it as "partial 16S ribosomal RNA". It matches the Rfam family "Bacterial small subunit ribosomal RNA", at positions 524 to 776 of the family's 1533-position model. The record is from RNAcentral.
UACGGGGGGAGCAAGCGUUGUUCGGAUUUAUUGGGCGUAAAGAGCGCGUAGGCGGCCUGGUAGGUCUGCUGUGAAAACUCGAGGCUCAACCUCGAGACGUCGGCGGAAACCAUCUGGCUAGAGUCCGGAAGAGGAGAGUGGAAUUCCUGGUGUAGCGGUGAAAUGCGCAGAUAUCAGGAAGAACACCCGUGGCGAAGGCGGCUCUCUGGGACGGUACUGACGCUGAGACGCGAAAGCGUGGGGAGCGAACAGG